CCUACGGGACGCAGCAGUGGGGAAUAUUGCACAAUGGGCGCAAGCCUGAUGCAGCCAUGCCGCGUGUAUGAAGAAGGCCUUCGGGUUGUAAAGUACUUUCAGCGGGGAGGAAGGUGUUGUGGUUAAUAACCGCAGCAAUUGACGAUACCCGCAGAAGAAGCACCGGCUAACUCCGUGCCAGCAGCCGCGGUAAUACGGAGGGUGCAAGCGUUAAUCGGAAUUACUGGGCGUAAAGCGCACGCAGGCGGUCUGUCAAGUCGGAUGUGAAAUCCCCGGGCUCAACCUGGGAACUGCAUUCGAAACUGGCAGGCUAGAGUCUUGUAGAGGGGGGUAGAAUUCCAGGUGUAGCGGUGUAAUGCGUAGGGAUCUGGAGGAAUACCGGUGGCGAAGGCGGCCCCCUGGACAAAGACUGACGCUCAGGUGCGAAAGCGUGGGGAGCAAACAGGAUUAGAUACCCCUGUAGUC
This 465-nucleotide ribosomal RNA is filed under the name uncultured bacterium. RNAcentral describes it as "bacterial SSU rRNA". It matches the Rfam family "Bacterial small subunit ribosomal RNA", at positions 338 to 795 of the family's 1533-position model. The record is from RNAcentral.